Molecule: long non-coding RNA, 549 nt
Filed under: Homo sapiens (human)
Lineage: Eukaryota; Metazoa; Chordata; Mammalia; Primates; Hominidae
Description: non-protein coding lnc-C2CD4B-9:1
Source: RNAcentral
AGUCUGGUGUCUGAUGAAGACUACUUAAAUCCUCCAGUAAUUGAUAGAAUGGAUGUGCAGCUAACAAAGCUUACACUUUAUAGGACAGUGAUCCAGCCAGGCAUCUACCAUCCUGAUAUUCAGCUGUUGCACCCAAUUAACUUGGAAUUUCUUGUAAAUCGGAAUCUAGCUGCAUCUUGGUACCACAAGGUGCCUGUUGUGGAAAUUAAAGGACAUCUUGAUUCAAUGAAUGUUAGUCUAAAUCAAGAAGAUCUUAAUCUUUUAUUUAGGAUACUAACAGAAAAUCUCUGUGAGGGUACUGAAGACUUGGAUAAAGUGAAACCAAGAGUACAAGAGACAGGUGAAAUUAAAGAGCCCCUUGAAAUCUCUAUAUCACAAGAUGUACAUGAUUCAAAAAAUACUUUAACAACUGGAGUGGAAGAAAUUAGGUUGUGGUUACUUUGAUGAAAAAAUCAGAAAAGAAAGGAAGGCCUUUACAUGAGCUAAAUGUCCUGCAACUUGGAAUGGAAGCUAAAGUUAAAACCUAUGACAUGACUGCUAAAGCUUAUC